UGCCAGCCGCCGCGGUAAGACGGAAGAUCCAAGCGUUAUUCGGAAUGACUGGGCGUAAAGAGUUGCGUAGGUGGUUUUGUAAGCAAAGCAUGAAAUUUUAAGGCUCAACCUUAAAACUGUGCUUUGAACUGCAAAACUUGAGUAUGGUAGAGGUAACUGGAAUUUCUAGUGUAGGAGUGAAAUCCGUAGAUAUUAGAAGGAACACCAAUGGCGUAGGCAGGUUACUGGACCAUUACUGACACUGAGGCACGAAAGCGUGGGUAGCGAACGGGAUUAGAUA
Molecule: ribosomal RNA, 280 nt
Filed under: uncultured bacterium
Lineage: Bacteria
Description: partial 16S ribosomal RNA
Rfam family: Bacterial small subunit ribosomal RNA
Source: RNAcentral